CAGUCGAGCGAAGCGAUAAGGUGAAAUUUUUCGGAAUGAAGCCAUAUUGACUUAUCGGCGGACGGGUGAGUAACGCGUGGGUAACCUGCCUCAUACAGGGGGAUAACAGUUAGAAAUGACUGCUAAUACCGCAUAAGCGCACGGGACUGCAUGGUCCAGUGUGAAAAACCGAGGUGGUAUGAGAUGGACCCGCGUCUGAUUAGCUGGUUGGCGGGGUAACGGCCCACCAAGGCGACGAUCAGUAGCCGACCUGAGAGGGUGGCCGGCCACAUUGGGACUGAGACACGGCCCAAACUCCUACGGGAGGCAGCAGUGGGGAAUAUUGCACAAUGGGGGAAACCCUGAUGCAGCAACGCCGCGUGAGUGAAGAAGUAUUUCGGUAUGUAAAGCUCUAUCAGCAGGGAAGAGAAUGACGGUACCUGACUAAGAAGCCCCGGCUAACUACGUGCCAGCAGCCGCGGUAAUACGUAGGGGGCGAGCGUUAUCCGGAUUUACUGGGUGUAAAGGGAGCGUAGACGGUUCUGCAAGUCUGAAGUGAAAGCCCGUGGCUUAACCGCGGAACGGCUUUGGAAACUGUGGAACUGGAGUGCUGGAGAGGCAAGCGGAAUUCCUAGUGUAGCGGUGAAAUGCGUAGAUAUUAGGAGGAACACCAGUGGCGAAGGCGGCUUGCUGGACAGUAACUGACGUUGAGGCUCGAAAGCGUGGGGAGCAAACAGGAUUAGAUACCCUGGUAGUCCACGCGGUAAACGAUGAAUGCUAGGUGUCGGGGAGCAAAGCUCUUCGGUGCCGCCGCAAACGCAGUAAGCAUUCCACCUGGGGAGUACGUUCGCAAGAAUGAAACUCAAAGGAAUUGACGGG
RNAcentral lists this ribosomal RNA (858 nucleotides) under uncultured bacterium. RNAcentral describes it as "bacterial SSU rRNA". It matches the Rfam family "Bacterial small subunit ribosomal RNA", at positions 59 to 917 of the family's 1533-position model. The record is from RNAcentral.